AGUGAACGCUGGCGGUAGGCCUAACACAUGCAAGUCGAACGGCAGCACAGGAGAGCUUGCUCUCUGGGUGGCGAGUGGCGGACGGGUGAGGAAUACAUCGGAAUCUACUUUUUCGUGGGGGAUAACGUAGGGAAACUUACGCUAAUACCGCAUACGACCUACGGGUGAAAGCAGGGGACCUUCGGGCCUUGCGCGAUUGAAUGAGCCGAUGUCGGAUUAGCUAGUUGGCGGGGUAAAGGCCCACCAAGGCGACGAGCCGUAGCUGGUCUGAGAGGAUGAUCAGCUAAACUGGAACUGAGACACGGUCCAGACUCCUACGGGAGGCAGCAGUGGGGAAUAUUGGACAAUGGGCGCAAGCCUGAUCCAGCCAUACCGCGUGGGUGAAGAAGGCCUUCGGGUUGUAAAGCCCUUUUGUUGGGAAAGAAAUCCAGCUGGCUAAUACCCGGUUGGGAUGACGGUACCCAAAGAAUAAGCACCGGCUAACUUCGUGCCAGCCGCCGCCGUAA
RNAcentral lists this ribosomal RNA (506 nucleotides) under uncultured bacterium. RNAcentral describes it as "partial 16S ribosomal RNA". It matches the Rfam family "Bacterial small subunit ribosomal RNA", at positions 29 to 523 of the family's 1533-position model. The record is from RNAcentral.